This 694-nucleotide ribosomal RNA is filed under the name uncultured bacterium. Its description in RNAcentral is "bacterial SSU rRNA". It matches the Rfam family "Bacterial small subunit ribosomal RNA", at positions 861 to 1533 of the family's 1533-position model. The record is from RNAcentral.
UAAGUGCCCCCGCCUGGGAGUACGCCGCAAGGCCUAAACUCAAAGGAAUUGACGGGGGCCCGGCACAACGGCGGAGCAUCGGAUAAUUCGAUGCAACGCGAAGAACCUUACCAAGGCUUGACAUGGCCGGAUCGGGCUGGAAACAGUCCUUCCCCUUUGGGGCCGGUUCACAGUGGUGCAUGGUUGUCGUCAGCUCGUGUCGUGAGAUGUUGGGUUAAGUCCCGCAACGAGCGCAACCCUCGUUCCAUGUUGCCAGCACGUAGUGGUGGGGACUCAUGGGAGACUGCCGGGGUCAACUCGGAGGAAGGUGAGGACGACGUCAAAUCAUCAUGCCCCUUAUGUCUUGGGCUUCACGCAUGCUACAAUGGCCGGUACAAUGGGUUGCGAUACUGUGAGGUGGAGCUAAUCCCAAAAAGCCGGUCUCAGUUCGGAUUGGGGUCUGCAACUCGACCCCAUGAAGUCGGAGUCGCUAGUAAUCGCAGAUCAGCAACGCUGCGGUGAAUACGUUCCCGGGCCUUGUACACACCGCCCGUCAAGUCACGAAAGUUGGUAACACCCGAAGCCGGUGGCCCAACCCUUUUUGGGAGGGAGCCGUCGAAGGUGGGACCGGCGAUUGGGACUAAGUCGUAACAAGGUAGCCGUACCGGAAGGUGUGGCUGGAUCACCUCCUUAAUGGGCGAUUGCGCCGCUAAUU